RNAcentral lists this ribosomal RNA (415 nucleotides) under uncultured bacterium. Its description in RNAcentral is "bacterial SSU rRNA". It matches the Rfam family "Bacterial small subunit ribosomal RNA", at positions 32 to 424 of the family's 1533-position model. The record is from RNAcentral.
AAUCAACGCUGGCGGCGUGCCUCAGACAUGCAAGUCGAACGCGAAAGUCCCCUUCGGGGGACGAAGUAGAGUGGCGCACGGGUGAGUAACACGUAGGUAAUCUACCUUCGGAUGGGGAAUAACAACCGGAAACGGUUAGCUAAUACCGCAUAAUGCAGCGGCACCUAAUGGUGACAGUUGUUAAAGCGGGGGAGUUGAAAGACCUCGCGUCUGAAGAGGAGCCUGCGGCGGAUUAGCUUGUUGGAGGGUAACGGCCUACCAAGGCGACGAUCCGUAGCCGGCCUGAGAGGGCGGUCGGCCACACUGACACUGACAUACGGGUCAGACUCCUACGGGAGGCAGCAGUCGGGAAUUUUGGGCAAUGGGCGAAAGCCUGACCCAGCAACGCCGCGUGAAGGAUGAAAUCCCUCGGGAU